This 253-nucleotide ribosomal RNA is filed under the name uncultured bacterium. RNAcentral's name for it is "partial 16S ribosomal RNA". It matches the Rfam family "Bacterial small subunit ribosomal RNA", at positions 524 to 776 of the family's 1533-position model. The record is from RNAcentral.
UACAGAGGGGGCAAGCGUUAUUCGGAAUUAUUGGGCGUAAAGCGCGCGCAGGCGGUCCUUUAAGUCUGAUGUGAAAGCCCACGGCUCAACCGUGGAGGGUCAUUGGAAACUGGGGGACUUGAGUGCAGAAGAGGAAAGUGGAAUUCCACGUGUAGCGGUGAAAUGCGUAGAUAUCGAGAGGAACACCUGCGGCGAAGGCGGGUAGCUGGGCCGACACUGACGCUGAUGCGCGAAAGCCAGGGGAGCGAACGGG